CCUAUUGCUAUCGGGGUGGGACUAAGACAUGCGAGUUGAACGUUUCGCAGCCAUGAGUGAAACGUGGCGUACGGCUCAGUAACACGUGGCUAACCUACCCUCGAGACGGAGACACCCCCGGGAAACUGGGGUUAAUCCCAGAUAGGUGAGAACUCCUGGAAUGGUUUUUCGCCCAAAAGAUGUUGGAAUCAUGCUUUCCAGCAUUGCUCGAGGAUGGAGCCGCGGCCGAUCAGGUAGUUGGUGAGGUAGUGGCUCACCAAGCCUAUAACCGGUACGGGCCGUGGGAGCGGGAGCCCGGAGAUGGGAACUGAGACAAGGUCCCAGGCCCUACGGGGCGCAGCAGUCGCGAAAACUCCGCAAUGCACGAAAGUGUGACGGGGCUACCCCGAGUGCCGUCCGUUGAGGAUGGCUUUUCUCUGCUGUAAGGAGGCGGAGGAAUAAGGAGAGGGCAAGUCUGGUGUCAGCCGCCGCGGUAAUACCAGCUCUCCGAGUGAUAGGGAUGAUUAUUGGGCUUAAAGCGUCCGUAGCCGGCCCUUCAAGUCUCUCGUUAAAUCCAGCGAUUCAAUCGUUGGACUGCGGGAGAUACUGUUGGGCUAGGAGACGGGAGAAGCCGACGGUAUUUUCGGAGUAGGGGUAAAAUCCUAUAAUCCCGGGAAGACCACCAGUGGCGUAGGCGGUCGGCUAGCACGCGCUCGACGGUGAGGGACGAAAGCUGGGGGAGCGAACCGGAUUAGAUACCCGGGUAGUCCCAGCUGUAAACGAUGCGGACUAGGUGUUGGAGCGGCUACGAGCCGCUUCAGUGCCGCAGGGAAGCCAUUAAGUCCGCCGCCUGGGGAGUACGGCCGCAAGGCUGAAACUUAA
This 861-nucleotide ribosomal RNA is filed under the name uncultured archaeon. Its description in RNAcentral is "bacterial SSU rRNA". It matches the Rfam family "Archaeal small subunit ribosomal RNA", at positions 23 to 859 of the family's 1478-position model. The record is from RNAcentral.